RNAcentral lists this long non-coding RNA (434 nucleotides) under Homo sapiens (human). The record is from RNAcentral. Lineage: Eukaryota; Metazoa; Chordata; Mammalia; Primates; Hominidae.
ACGCACCUGGGUUGUCUCGAGCCUGCGGUAGUGGCCAGAUCCCAGACAUCCGAGUAGAUCCCGUGAAAAGACCACAUUUCCACUGGAGCAGUUGAAAUGAGAGAGAUGGGAAUGGGACUCACCCGAACCAGAGGAAUUUUUAUUACAGACCCAUUAACAGAGGUGUCAAAGUCACAGGAACAAGGAUGUGCACCUCAGAAACACAGAGGUCAGUGGAAAAUCAGUUUGCUUCUAUUUGUUUAAAAAAUGGGGGACUUAUGCAUAAAUCUAAGACCUUCUUGAAUCUAACAUUCUAAGACCUGUAUGCCACAGAAAGGAGGGUCUCAGAACGCCGGAGGAUAGUAUUUAAAUCUUAAAUAUCUAUAUUGUUCUCCACAGUUACUGGGUCACCACAUAGCAGGCAUUCAAUAAAAACGUGUUUGUUUACUAAGUAA